UACGAAGGGGGCUAGCGUUGCUCGGAAUUACUGGGCGUAAAGCGCACGUAGGCGGAUUGGUCAGUUAGGGGUGAAAUCCUGGAGCUCAACUCCAGAACUGCCUUUAAUACUGCCAAUCUCGAGUCCGGAAGAGGUGAGUGGAACUCCUAGUGUAGAGGUGGAAUUCGUAGAUAUUAGGAAGAACACCAGUGGCGAAGGCGGCUCACUGGUCCGGUACUGACGCUGAGGUGCGAAAGCGUGGGGAGCAAACAGG
Molecule: ribosomal RNA, 253 nt
Filed under: uncultured bacterium
Lineage: Bacteria
Description: partial 16S ribosomal RNA
Rfam family: Bacterial small subunit ribosomal RNA
Source: RNAcentral